AGAGUUUGGAUCCUGGCUCAGGACGAACGUUGGCGGUGCGCUUAAUGCAUGCAAGUCGAGGGAGAACCAUUCGAUCCGUAAGGACUGGAUGGGGAAACCGGCGAACGGGUGCGUAACACGUGAGGAACCUGCCCCGAAGACCGGGAUAGCCCGAGGAAACUCGGAUUAAUACCGGAUACCCUCUUUGGACCACAUGGUCCGCUGAGGAAAUGGUCCGCCGCUUCGGGAUGGCCUCGUGGCCUAUCAGCUUGUUGGUGAGGUAACGGCUCACCAAGGCAAAGACGGGUAGCUGGUCUGAGAGGACGAUCAGCCACACUGGGACUGAGACACGGCCCAGACUCCUACGGGAGGCAGCAGCAGGGAAUAUUGCACAAUGGGCGAAAGCCUGAUGCAGCGACACCGCGUGCGGGAUGAAGGCCCUCGGGUUGUAAACCGCUUUCAGGAGGGACGAAAAUGACGGUACCUCCAGAAGAAGGCCCGGCCAACUACGUGCCAGCAGCCGCGGUAAUACGUAGGGGCCAAACGUUGUCCGGAUUUAUUGGGCGUAAAGGGCUCGUAGGCGGUUCAACAAGUCGAUCGUGAAAGCCCGGGGCUCAACCCCGGGACGCCGGUCGAAACUGUUGUGACUAGGGUCCGGUAGAGGUGAGUGGAAUUCUCGGUGUAGCGGUGGAAUGCGCAGAUAUCGAGAGGAACACCAGU
RNAcentral lists this ribosomal RNA (699 nucleotides) under uncultured bacterium. RNAcentral's name for it is "bacterial SSU rRNA". It matches the Rfam family "Bacterial small subunit ribosomal RNA", at positions 8 to 713 of the family's 1533-position model. The record is from RNAcentral.